GUCCCCAUCGUCUAGGGGUCAGGACUCGGGAUUUUCGAUCCCGUAACAGGGGUUCGAAUCCCCUUGGGGACA
This 72-nucleotide transfer RNA is filed under the name bacterium. RNAcentral describes it as "tRNA-Glu". It matches the Rfam family "tRNA". Rfam says of the family: Transfer RNA (tRNA) molecules are approximately 80 nucleotides in length. The record is from RNAcentral.